RNAcentral lists this long non-coding RNA (709 nucleotides) under Manacus vitellinus (golden-collared manakin). Its description in RNAcentral is "lncRNA (ENSMVIG00005001007.1)". The record is from RNAcentral. Lineage: Eukaryota; Metazoa; Chordata; Aves; Passeriformes; Pipridae.
CGUUGAAAUGCUGCUUUCACUUGCAUGAACGAGGUCAAAACCCGAUGGAAACAUUUCAAAAGCACGGGAAGCAGAACUGCCCUCCCCGGCCAUCCUGUUCUGCUGCGAACGCUCAGCCUCUGGGUGCUUUUACCUCCAAAUUUUCAACUCCUUUUUUGCAAACUACAUGAAAUGGAUGGCUGCUGUUACACACCCCUGCAAAGCUCAGCUCCUGGACUGGACUGCCCCAAAGCCUGUGCUCAGUUUUCUCACUUGGUGGUAACUGCAGUAACUCAGACAGAGGGAGAUGGACUGCAGGCACUAGAGAGCUCUGGACAGAUUUCAACAAUCAGUAGAAUUUGUACCAACAUGCAGAAGAGGCAUCAGAUCCAGGAGUUCUUCAAUUCAUGUACCAGAAAGAAUAACAGGGUAAGGUCUAACUGAGGAAAAUACUAAGUGUUUUCCCUAAAUGUGGCAAGUUCUUAUUUUGAUACUUGUUCCUGCCUGAGGUCAAUAUUUAAUUAAAUUAAUAGAGCAAAUGUAUAAAUGUGGCUUCUUGAGCAUCCCAAAUGCUACAUCUAUUUGUAAAGUACUGGCAGAGGAUAUUUAAAGUACUUACAAUUAUUCAGUGAUAGAAGUCCCUGCAGUAGCAAGUUGUUUGCUUCUAUAACUGCCACGUGCAGAAUCAAAGGCUAAGCAGAGUUUUCCCUGCCAUCAAAGAUUUAUGAUU